RNAcentral lists this long non-coding RNA (1397 nucleotides) under Anser cygnoides (Swan goose). RNAcentral describes it as "lncRNA (ENSACDG00005008056.1)". Lineage: Eukaryota; Metazoa; Chordata; Aves; Anseriformes; Anatidae. The record is from RNAcentral.
GUCCCCAAGGCGUUUUGGGGUGCUACAUGCUAAUUUUGGGUUUAUUUUGCCAUGAUUUUGGGGUCCCCAAGGAGUUUUAGGGUGCUGCACUCUGCCUUUACCAUGAUUUUGAGGUGCUCCACGUUGCUCUUCCGUUGAUCUUGCCAUGCUUUUAGGGUCCUGGAGGUGUUUUGGGAUGCUACACGAUGCCUUUAUCAUGAUUUUGGGGUGCUACGUGUUGAAUUUUGCCAUGAUUUUGGGGCUCCAGAGGUGUUUUGGGGUACCACAGGCUGAGUUUGUGUUGAUUUUUACCAUGAUUUUGGGGUCCCUGAGGCAUUUUGGGGUGCCACGCACUGAUUUUGGGUUGAUUUUGCCAUGAUUUUGGGGUCCUCGAGGUGUUUUGGGGUGCUACAUGCUUCUUUUGUGUGGCUUUUGCCAUGAUUUUGGGGUUCCAGAGGCAUUUUGGGGUCCUACACACUGAUUUUGGGUUGAUUUUGCCAUGAUUUUGGGGUCCUCAAGGUGUUUUGGGGUGCUACAUGCUGCAUUUGCAUUGAUUUUGCCCCAAUUUUAGGGCCCUGAGGCGUUUUGGGGUGCUCCAUCCAAUUCUGCACCCCUUUUGCCACUUUAAUGGGAUCCCGAAAGCGUUUUGGGGUUUUCCCCAGACAUUUUGGGGUUUCCCUGCCUCUUUUGUGCUGCUUCUGCUGCUCUCACGGGGUCCCCGGGGCGCUUUGGGGGUCCCCCACCCCAUUUCCCCACUGCUUCAUCGCCCCAAAUCAUUUGGGGACCUCGCCAGCCGUUUCCUCACCCCAUUUACAGGGCCCUUAGGUUAUUAUGGGAUGCCACCCCCCCCCCAUUCCCCUCCUGGAGCCAUUUUGGGUCCGUUUCACCGCCUUUUCCCCCCAUUUCCCCCAGCGUUACGGGGCCGCCCCCCCCUUAGGUGCCCACCCACUCAUUUGGGGCUGCCCCCCCCUUAAUUUUCACCCCAUCCCAAACCUCCUUCCCCCCCCUCCGGCUCCGGGUGCAGGUUUUCGAGCGCGGGCUGCAGUCGAUCCCGCUGAGCAUGGACCUGUGGAUCCACUACAUCUCCUACCUCCAGUCCACGCUGGACAUGAGCCUCCCCGAAUCCAUCCAGAAGAUCCGCGGGGUGUUCGAGGCGGCGGUGGCGGCGGCGGGGAUGGAUUUCCGCUCGGACAAGCUGUGGGAGCUCUACGUCGAGUGGGAGCGCGAGCGCGGCGACCUCCGCGCCGUCACCGCCAUCUACGACAGGGUGCUCUCCAUGCCCACGCAGCUCUACAGCCACCACUGGGAGAGGUGUGUCGGGGGGGGGGCAACCCGAAAAGAAGGGGGGAAAACCCUAAAAAAACGUGGGGGAAAACCCUAAAAAAAAGUGGGGGGAAAACCCUAAAAGAAGGGAAGAG